This 234-nucleotide unclassified non-coding RNA is filed under the name uncultured fungus. Its description in RNAcentral is "sequence contains ITS1". Lineage: Eukaryota; Fungi. The record is from RNAcentral.
GUAUUUCAUUGCGUUAAACGCGACAUACAUUCCAUGAGACUUUGUUGUAGUGUGUGUGUAAAGACGCAGAACCACAGCAGGGGGACAGAGCCCACCCAGGCCAUAGAACUACAGAGGGUGCACAGGUGUGAGUGGAUGUGUAAACAGAGCGUGCACAUGCCCCCGGUUUGGGGACCAGCAACAACUCGUGUUGACAAUUCGGUAAUGAUCCUUCCGCAGGUUCACCUACGGAAA